Molecule: ribosomal RNA, 386 nt
Filed under: uncultured bacterium
Lineage: Bacteria
Description: bacterial SSU rRNA
Rfam family: Bacterial small subunit ribosomal RNA
Source: RNAcentral
AUUGAACGCUGGCGGCGUGCCUAACACAUGCAAGUCGAGCGGUAACAGGUGUAGCAAUACAUGCUGACGAGCGGCGAACGGGUGAGUAAUGCUUCGGAAUCUACCCAAUGGUGGGGAAUAACCAGCCGAAAGGUUGGCUAAUACCGCAUACGUCCCACGGGAGAAAGCAGGGGAUCGCAAGACCUUGCGCCAAUGGAUGAGCCGAAGUCGGAUUAGCUAGNGGUAGGUAACGGCCUACCAAGGCGACGAUCCGUAGCUGGUCUGAGAGGACGACCAGCCACACUGGGACUGAGACACGGCCCAGACUCCUACGGGAGGCAGCAGUGGGGAAUAUUGGACAAUGGGGGAAACCCUGAUCCAGCGACGCCGCGUGUGUGAAGAAGGCC